This 431-nucleotide ribosomal RNA is filed under the name uncultured bacterium. RNAcentral's name for it is "partial 16S ribosomal RNA". It matches the Rfam family "Bacterial small subunit ribosomal RNA", at positions 29 to 507 of the family's 1533-position model. The record is from RNAcentral.
AACGAACACUGGCGGCAGGCCUAACACAUGCAAGUCGAGCGCCCCGCAAGGGGAGCGGCGGACGGGUGAGUAACGCGUGGGAAUAUGCCCUUUGCUACGGAAUAGUCUCGGGAAACUGGGGGUAAUACCGUAUACGCCCUUUGGGGGAAAGAUUUAUCGGCGAAGGAUUAGCCCGCGUUGGAUUAGGUAGUUGGUGGGGUAAUGGCCUACCAAGCCGACGAUCCAUAGCUGGUUUGAGAGGAUGAUCAGCCACACUGGGACUGAGACACGGCCCAGACUCCUACGGGAGGCAGCAGUGGGGAAUCUUAGACAAUGGGGGCAACCCUGAUCUAGCCAUGCCGCGUGAGUGAUGAAGGCCUUAGGGUUGUAAAGCUCUUUCAGCUGGGAAGAUAAUGACGGUACCAGCAGAAGAAGCCCCGGCUAACUCCGUG